CCUACGGGAGGCAGCAGUGGGGAAUCUUGCGCAAUGGCCUAACGGCUGACGCAGCGACGCCGCGUGCGGGAGGAAGGCCUUCGGGUCGUAAACCGCUGUCAGGAGGGAAGAAGCUCCCCGGGAGGCAAUGCCCGGGGGUUGACGGUACCUCCAGAGGAAGCACCGGCUAACUCCGUGCCAGCAGCCGCGGUAAUACGGAGGGUGCGAGCGUUGUUCGGAAUUAUUGGGCGUAAAGCGCGCGCAGGCGGCUUUCUAAGUCCACGGGUGAAAGGCCGGGGCUCAACCCCGAUUGCAUGCCCAGGAUACUGGGGAGCUGGAGACACGUAGAGGCAAGCGGAAUUCCGGGUGUAGCGGUGGAAUGCGUAGAGAUCCGGAAGAACACCGGAGGCGAAGGCGGCUUGCUGGGCGUGAUCUGACGCUGAGGCGCGAAAGCGUGGGGA
Molecule: ribosomal RNA, 440 nt
Filed under: uncultured bacterium
Lineage: Bacteria
Description: bacterial SSU rRNA
Rfam family: Bacterial small subunit ribosomal RNA
Source: RNAcentral